AUUGAACGCUGGCGGCAUGCUUUACACAUGCAAGUCGAACGGUAACAGGGAAAAGCUUGCUUUUCUGCUGACGAGUGGCGAACGGGUGAGUAAUACAUCGGAACGUGCCCUGUAGUGGGGGAUAACUACUCGAAAGAGUGGCUAAUACCGCAUACAACCUGAGGGUAAAAGUGGGGGACCGCAAGGCCUCACGCUAUAGGAGCGGCCGAUGGAAGAUUAGGUAGUUGGUAGGGUAAAGGCCUACCAAGCCGACGAUCUUUAGCGGGUCUGAGAGGACGAUCCGCCACACUGGGACUGAGACACGGCCCAGACUCCUACGGGAGGCAGCAGUGGGGAAUUUUGGACAAUGGGGGCAACCCUGAUCCAGCAAUGCCGCGUGAGUGAAGAAGGCCUUCGGGUUG
RNAcentral lists this ribosomal RNA (401 nucleotides) under uncultured bacterium. RNAcentral's name for it is "bacterial SSU rRNA". It matches the Rfam family "Bacterial small subunit ribosomal RNA", at positions 30 to 425 of the family's 1533-position model. The record is from RNAcentral.